AACGAACGCUGGCGGCAUGCCUAACACAUGCAAGUCGAACGAGAUCUUCGGGUCUAGUGGCGCACGGGUGCGUAACGCGUGGGAAUCUGCCCUUUGGUUCGGAAUAACAGUUGGAAACGAGUGCUAAUACCGGAUGAUGACGAAAGUCCAAAGAUUUAUCGCCAGGGGAUGAGCCCGCGUAGGAUUAGCUAGUUGGUGUGGGAAAGGCGCACCAAGGCGACGAUCCUUAGCUGGUCUGAGAGGAUGAUCAGCCACACUGGGACGGAGACACGGCCCAGACUCCUACGGGAGGCAGCAGUGGGGAAUAUUGGACAAUGGGCGAAAGCCUGAUCCAGCAAUGCCGCGUGAGUGAUGAAGGCCUUAGGGUUGUAAAGCUCUUUUACCCGGGAUGAUAAUGACAGUACCGGGAGAAUAAGCUCCGGCUAACUCCGUGCCAGCAGCCGCCGUAA
This 449-nucleotide ribosomal RNA is filed under the name uncultured bacterium. RNAcentral's name for it is "partial 16S ribosomal RNA". It matches the Rfam family "Bacterial small subunit ribosomal RNA", at positions 29 to 523 of the family's 1533-position model. The record is from RNAcentral.